Molecule: ribosomal RNA, 505 nt
Filed under: uncultured bacterium
Lineage: Bacteria
Description: partial 16S ribosomal RNA
Rfam family: Bacterial small subunit ribosomal RNA
Source: RNAcentral
GACGAACGCUGGCGGCGUGCCUAAUACAUGCAAGUAGAACGCACAGUUUAUACCGUAGCUUGCUACACCAUAAACUGUGAGUUGCGAACGGGUGAGUAACGCGUAGGUAACCUGCCUGGUAGCGGGGGAUAACUAUUGGAAACGAUAGCUAAUACCGCAUAAUAUUGAUUAUUGCAUGAUAAUUGAUUGAAAGAUGCUAUUGCAUCACUACCAGAUGGACCUGCGUUGUAUUAGCUAGUAGGUGAGGUAACGGCUCACCUAGGCGACGAUACAUAGCCGACCUGAGAGGGUGAUCGGCCACACCGGGACUGAGACACGGCCCAGACUCCUACGGGGGGCAGCAGUAGGGAAUCUUCGGCAAUGGACGAAAGUCUGACCGAGCAACGCCGCGUGAGUGAAGAAGGUUUUCGGAUCGUAAAGCUCUGUUGUAAGAGAAGAACGGGUGUGAGAGUGGAAAGUUCACACUGUGACGGUAUCUUACCAGAAAGGGACGGCUAACUACGUG